UGAGAAGAUGCGGUCCGUUGG
This 21-nucleotide unclassified non-coding RNA is filed under the name Chlamydomonas reinhardtii. RNAcentral's name for it is "small RNA Cre_2897". The record is from RNAcentral. Lineage: Eukaryota; Viridiplantae; Chlorophyta; Chlorophyceae; Chlamydomonadales; Chlamydomonadaceae.